UAGCUAUCCAGGAAGAUAUAUCUAUAUAUAUAUCUAUAUAUUUAAGAUUUUAUUUAUUUAUUCAUGACAGAGAGACAGAGAGAGCGAGACAGGCAGAGGGAGAAGCAGCUCCAUGCAGGGAGCCCAACGUGGGACUCGAUCCUGGGUCUCCAGAUCACACCCCAGGCUGAAGGCAGGUGCUAAACUGCUGAGCCACCGGGGCUGCCCUAUAUCUAUAUCCAUAUAUUUUUUUUAUUAUUUCCAGACACAGGCUACUGGCAUUUGAAUUUUAGUCCUGCCAGUUGCUUGGUAGCUGACUUGGCCAAGUUACUUAACAACUCUCUGAGUUAAGAGAAUAAAUGUUAUCGACUUUGUGGAAAAUGUUCGAGUUUCAGUGCAGGUAAGGAGUAGAGCCUGGUACGGAGUAAAUCCACGGUGUCUGCUGUUUGGCCCCUGCUGGAUGAGAAGACCACGACUUCUCAUUCUUCUUUUUAUAUUAACUGUUAUGCAGAGGAGGUUCAGGCCUGACGUGAAUAGCUGCUCCUUCUUGCACACUCUGCUGCGGCUUCUGGGCGCUUCUUAGGGAUUGUCACAUUUGCAGCUAACCUCAACCCCUGGGGUUGGCAUUAUCUUUUCCAUUUUGUAGAUGAGGCAGUUGAGACUUAGGGAGGUUCAGGGAGGGAGAUCUGGGGCUGCAGGGCCCCUCCGUGACGCAGGGGCUGGAGGGCUUCCUUCCCCCAAGAUGCGAGCUCAUUGGAGCCCUCCCCGUGCAGCAUCUAGGGCAGGCUCGGAGUACCUGCGCGCUCGUGCACGAAGGUGGCCUGAGCCCCGAAGGUCGCUGGGAUUGCAGAGCUCAGCUUGGUCAGGGGCCCCGCGCCCCGCUGGCUUGCAGCUGGGUGAUGCGUGCAGGUGGUUCAGACCGUCGCGGAUUUACCCUCCAUAGCGCGGCCCGGCGCACUGUUCACCCUGUUCUAGGCGUCCUCGCCCAGCAGGUGGCGCUGCAGGCCCUCCCGAGGCUCCGAGGGGUGAGGCACCUGCACGGACAGCAGGUGUGGGGCGAGAUAGGGCGUGCAAGUGCAAAUGCAACUACUGAAGUCACCCCCCACCCCCCCCCGCCGCAGUCGAGUUCCCACCGGUCAGAGAAAUGCUUCCGAGGCUCAGUCUCGAGUUCCCUUUUGUGGAAAACCUGCCUUAAAUUCAGAGCUUUGAGCUUUUGGUCUUCAAAAGCUCGUCAUUGGCUUUCAAGGAGAGAGGAUCUAGGGAAGCUGCAUACAGGAAUCUUUUGUACUGAAACAGCUUUCAUCAUUGUCUUCCUCAGGCCACAUGGUUCAGCCUGA
RNAcentral lists this long non-coding RNA (1316 nucleotides) under Vulpes vulpes (red fox). RNAcentral's name for it is "lncRNA (ENSVVUG00000017398.1)". The record is from RNAcentral. Lineage: Eukaryota; Metazoa; Chordata; Mammalia; Carnivora; Canidae.